This 728-nucleotide long non-coding RNA is filed under the name Homo sapiens (human). RNAcentral describes it as "non-protein coding RFX3-AS1:20". Lineage: Eukaryota; Metazoa; Chordata; Mammalia; Primates; Hominidae. The record is from RNAcentral.
CACAGCCUGGUAUAAAGGGAUAUUGUAAACAAUUCAUGUUAUUGGAGAAAAAAUUGUGAAGCAGAGAGUAGGAAAGAAGAAUGUUGGAGAGGUGUGCAGGAACCAGAAGGCUUUGUGAGACUUUUUUCCCGGUAGGUGAUAAUGAAACACAAUUGUUUUGAAUUAGUAGAGUGUUUGUCGAAGGAGUUCAGCAAAGCCCCACUAUUACCCUGGAGUAUGUAACUCUCAGUAUAGUUUUCUUUCUAUUUUCAUAAGGUUAACUGUUUCUCCAUAUAAAACAAGCUUAAUAACUAGCAGGGUGAUCCUUUGCCUUUGCAUCCUCUGUUACAUAUAAAACUUUUGAUAUUAAAAAUGAUUUUUCUCCUCCAUCAUUUCCUUCUCCUCCUUCCCUUCCUCCCCCUCCUCCUUCUUUCACUUAUAAAAGUCUCCUCUUAAGAUAAAAAUUCUAGAAAUGAGAUUCAUUAAGCUAUUAUCAGAUAAUGGGAGCAUAAGUUUUCUGACCAUUAGAUGCCCAUUGAAAAGGGAAAUAUGCUUACAGUCCAAGGUCAAGUGACCAGAGGUGGCGAAGGGCCUGUAUGUCUGAGAAGAAAGGGCCAAAUAUACACUCUGCCUCUUCACUGGAGAGAGCCACUUUCAACCAACAUGGUUUUUUUCUGGUAAAGCAAGCCAAUGUUAAGAACUACAUAAUGCUUAACAAAAUAAUUGAAGGGUCUAUUAUUCAAAAGGGG